GAUGAACGCUAGCGAUAGGCUUAACACAUGCAAGUCGAGGGGCAUCGAGGGUAGCAAUACCUGUCGGCGACCGGCGCACGGGUGAGUAACGCGUAUGUAACCUGCCCGCAACAGAGGGAUAACCCGGCGAAAGUCGGACUAAUACCUCAUAAAACAGGGGUUCCGCAUGGGGCUAUUUGUUAAAGAUUUAUUGGUUGCGGAUGGGCAUGCGUACCAUUAGGUAGUUGGUGAGGUAACGGCUCACCAAGCCAUCGAUGGUUAGGGGUUCUGAGAGGAAGGUCCCCCACACUGGUACUGAGACACGGACCAGACUCCUACGGGAGGCAGCAGUGAGGAAUAUUGGUCAAUGGGCGAGAGCCUGAACCAGCCAAGUCGCGUGAAGGAUGACUGCCCUAUGGGUUGUAAACUUCUUUUACAGGGGAAUAAAAUGAGAUACGUGUAUUUUAUUGCAUGU
RNAcentral lists this ribosomal RNA (454 nucleotides) under Tannerella forsythia. RNAcentral describes it as "bacterial SSU rRNA". It matches the Rfam family "Bacterial small subunit ribosomal RNA", at positions 28 to 476 of the family's 1533-position model. Lineage: Bacteria; Pseudomonadati; Bacteroidota; Bacteroidia; Bacteroidales; Tannerellaceae. The record is from RNAcentral.